This 253-nucleotide ribosomal RNA is filed under the name uncultured bacterium. RNAcentral describes it as "partial 16S ribosomal RNA". It matches the Rfam family "Bacterial small subunit ribosomal RNA", at positions 524 to 776 of the family's 1533-position model. The record is from RNAcentral.
UACGAAGGGGGCUAGCGUUGCUCGGAAUCACUGGGCGUAAAGGGUGCGUAGGCGGGUCUUUAAGUCAGGGGUGAAAUCCUGGAGCUCAACUCCAGAACUGCCUUCGAUACUGAGGAUCUUGAGUUCGGGAGAGGUGAGUGGAACUGCGAGUGUAGAGGUGAAAUUCGUAGAUAUUCGCAAGAACACCAGUGGCGAAGGCGGCUCACUGGCCCGAUACUGACGCUGAGGCACGAAAGCGUGGGGAGCAAACAGG